CAAGGGGACAAAAUGGGGUUUACAACUACCGGUUACUGGGUAGAAAACCAUAGAAAUAGGACUUACAACUACCGGUUACUGGGUAGAAGGCCAAAACAUCCGCUGGGGAGAGAAUGAACAACUACUGUUUAAUGAGCAAUUGAUCACCUGAACCACAAGGACGUGCAGGGGAAAUAACAAGCAAGGAGUCAGUCUAGGAACAAAC
RNAcentral lists this long non-coding RNA (205 nucleotides) under Lathyrus oleraceus (garden pea). RNAcentral describes it as "Pisum sativum (pea) long non-coding RNA (PSAT_LNC014910)". The record is from RNAcentral. Lineage: Eukaryota; Viridiplantae; Streptophyta; Magnoliopsida; Fabales; Fabaceae.